RNAcentral lists this ribosomal RNA (358 nucleotides) under uncultured bacterium. RNAcentral's name for it is "bacterial SSU rRNA". It matches the Rfam family "Bacterial small subunit ribosomal RNA", at positions 32 to 377 of the family's 1533-position model. The record is from RNAcentral.
AAUCAACGCUGGCGGCGUGCCUCAGACAUGCAAGUCGAACACGAAAGUCCCCUUCGGGGGAUGAUUAGAGUGGCGCACGGGUGAGUAACACGUAGGUAAUCUACCUUCGAGUGGGGAAUAAACUACAGGGAAACUUAGAGCUAAUACCGCAUAAUGCAGCGGCACCACAUAGGUGACAGUUGUUAAAGCAUUUAUGCGCUUGAAGAGGAGCCUGCGGCAGAUAGCUAGUUAGGUAAGGUAAUGGCUUACCAAGGCUACGAUCUGUAACCGGCCUGAGAGGGCGGACGGUCACACUGACACUGAAUAACGGGUCAGACUCCUACGGGAGGCAGCAGUCGGGAAUUUUGGGCAAUGGGCG